Molecule: non-coding RNA, 30 nt
Filed under: Rattus norvegicus (Norway rat)
Lineage: Eukaryota; Metazoa; Chordata; Mammalia; Rodentia; Muridae
Source: RNAcentral
UCAAUCUCUAUGACUUAUGUCCCUGCUGUC